RNAcentral lists this ribosomal RNA (322 nucleotides) under Sandonidae sp. RNAcentral describes it as "SSU rRNA". The stretch from base 62 to 322 matches the Rfam family "Eukaryotic small subunit ribosomal RNA", at positions 694 to 955 of the family's 1831-position model. Lineage: Eukaryota; Cercozoa; Glissomonadida; Sandonidae. The record is from RNAcentral.
GAUUUCUGGCUUGAAACAUUUGGCCGGCCACGGUUUCGUGUGUUAGUGCUUUAUGUUCUGGCCAUCCUUCCAAUCGCUAUAUACCUUUCUUCAUUGAUGGGUGUGUGGUAUUGGAUCUUUUACUUUGAAAAAAUUAGAGUGUUUCAAGCAGGCUUUAUGCUAUGAAUACAUUAGCAUGGAAUAAUAAUUUAGGACUUCGGUUCUAUUUUGUUGGUUUCUAGGACUGAAGUAAUGAUUGAUAGGGAUAGUUGGGGGUGCUAGUAUUCAGUGCGAAGAGGUGAAAUUCUUGGAUUCACUGAAGACUAACUAAUGCGAAAGCAUU